GAGUAACAGAAGUGAGAACCAGCUUAUCAGAAAAAAAGUUUGAAUUAUGGCGAGAAAUAAAAGUCUGAAACAUUCUUCCCCUCCUCCUCAGAAAACCUACCGCGCUUCGCUUGGUCAACCCCUCAGCGGCAAAAAUUAAAAUUUUUACCGCUUCGGCGUUAUAACCUCACACUCAAUCUUUUAUCACGAAGUCAUGAUUGAAUCGCGAGUGGUCGGCAGAUUGCGAUA
RNAcentral lists this ribosomal RNA (228 nucleotides) under uncultured prokaryote. Its description in RNAcentral is "partial 16S ribosomal RNA". The record is from RNAcentral.